RNAcentral lists this ribosomal RNA (565 nucleotides) under uncultured Glomeromycotina. RNAcentral describes it as "SSU rRNA". It matches the Rfam family "Eukaryotic small subunit ribosomal RNA", at positions 548 to 1114 of the family's 1831-position model. The record is from RNAcentral. Lineage: Eukaryota; Fungi; Glomeromycota.
UUGGAGGGCAAGUCUGGUGCCAGCAGCCGCGGUAAUCCCAGCUCCAAUAGCGUAUAUUAAAGUUGUUGCAGUUAAAAAGCUCGUAGUUGAAUUUCGGGGUUAGUAGGUUGGUCGUGCCACUGGUAUGUACUGGUCUCACUGAUUCCUCCUUCCUGAUGAGCCGUAAUGCCAUUAAUUUGGUGUUGCGAGGAAUCUGGACUGUUACUUUGAAAAAAUUAGGGUGUUUAAAGCAAGCUAACGCUUGAAUACAUUAGCAUGGAAUAAUGAAAUAGGACGUUCGAUCCUAUUUUGUUGGUUUCUAGGAUUGACGUAAUGAUUAAUAGGGAUAGUUGGGGGCAUUAGUAUUCAAUUGUCAGAGGUGAAAUUCUUGGAUUUAUUGAAGACUAACUACUGCGAAAGCAUUUGCCAAGGAUGUUUUCAUUAAUCAAGAACGAAAGUUAGGGGAUCGAAGACGAUCAGAUACCGUCGUAGUCUUAACCAUAAACUAUGCCGACUAGGGAUCGGAUGAUGUUAAUUUUUUAAUGACUCAUUCGGCGCCUUACGGGAAACCAAAGUGUUUGGGUUC